Daphnia magna is the source of this 436-nucleotide long non-coding RNA. RefSeq lists it as uncharacterized. NCBI's taxonomy places the organism in Eukaryota, Metazoa, Arthropoda, Branchiopoda, Diplostraca, Daphniidae. The record is from RefSeq and is a predicted model, not a curated record. The transcript is spliced from 2 exons.
GUCCUGUGUUAAGUUCACCCUUAAGAUGGCGGAAUGUUCCACAUAUGACGGCUCCAUACGGUUGCCGUGAUUCAAGAAUUCAAGAGCAACUACAGCCGAACACUAACGGGAACUUCCCAAAAGCAGCUGAUGGACAAUGUAAAUUGCAGCUGAUGGUGAUGGCAAAUGCUAUGCUAUUUCUGACGUGUCGCAGAAAGAGCUUACUCGAUUAUAUUCAGACACCUCCGACACCUCUUUUCUGCUAUUUCAUAAAUCUCCGUAAAUUUCUCCGUUAAUCAUUGUUGAAAUGAACCUUUUUACAUUGAAUUGACGAAUUGCCAACUAUUCCUCUGAGAAAUAAUUUUAAAAAAUGCUUUCUGUCUAUUAUUAAUCAUAUCUCGAUGCCUUUUUUGUGUUUCUUCGUGUUUCUUCCUCUGUCUUGAUGUAAAGCUUUAUA